AGAUUAUCACCACAGCAGGAGGGAGGGCUGUUUCCUGAGCCAGCAGGGAGCUCUGAAGGCAGAGGACACUGUGUUCUGAGACCUCUCCACCGAGCGGAGGACUCGAUGUUGAAGACCUAAUCUGACGUGCGACUCUGUUUGAGAAGGGGACUUUAAGGAGGUUUCGCCUCUCAUCCUACGUGGCAGGGUAUCGCGGUGUAGCGGUUACAAACGUACGAACACUGGAAUAGGACAGAUGUGAGUGGGCGUCAUAGCUUCUGCUCCCACCAGACCUCUGAGCCUCAGUUUAUUCGUCUGUAAAAUGAGCACAGAGUAUCCACCCUGGGGCUUGGUUGGGAAGAUUAGUUGAGGUCGUGACAUAAUGCCUAAGCCCACAAUAAAUGCUAAAUGCGAGCUA
Molecule: long non-coding RNA, 397 nt
Organism: Herpailurus yagouaroundi (jaguarundi)
Lineage: Eukaryota; Metazoa; Chordata; Mammalia; Carnivora; Felidae
Exons: 3
Source: RefSeq, a predicted model, not a curated record